Molecule: ribosomal RNA, 864 nt
Filed under: uncultured Oceanospirillaceae bacterium
Lineage: Bacteria; Pseudomonadati; Pseudomonadota; Gammaproteobacteria; Oceanospirillales; Oceanospirillaceae
Description: bacterial SSU rRNA
Rfam family: Bacterial small subunit ribosomal RNA
Source: RNAcentral
GACGCUGGCGGUAGGCUUAACACAUGCAAGUCGAGCGGUAACAGACAUUUUGAUUUUGCUUGCAAAAUCUCGUGCUGACGAGCGGCGGACGGGUGAGUAACGCGUAGGAAUCUACCUAGUAGAAGGGGAUAGCCCGAGGAAACUCGGAUUAAUACCGUAUACGUCCUUAGGGAGAAAGAGGGCUGAGCUUGAUGCUCUCGCUAUUAGAUGAGCCUGCGUAAGAUUAGCUUGUUGGUGAGGUAAAGGCUCACCAAGGCUACGAUCUUUAGCUGGUCUGAGAGGACGAUCAGCCACAUUGGGACUGAGACACGGCCCAGACUCCUACGGGAGGCAGCAGUGGGGAAUAUUGGACAAUGGGCGCAAGCCUGAUCCAGCCAUACCGCGUGUGUGAAGAAGGCUUUCGGGUUGUAAAGCACUUUAAGUGAGGAAGAAAAGAUACCAGUUAAUACCUGUUAUCCGUGACAUUACUCACAGAAUAAGGACCGGCUAAUUCCGUGCCAGCAGCCGCGGUAAUACGGAAGGUCCAAGCGUUAAUCGGAAUUACUGGGCGUAAAGCGCGCGUAGGUGGUUUAUCAAGUUGGUUGUGAAAGCCCCGGGCUUAACCUGGGAACUGCAGCCAAAACUGAUUCACUAGAGUACGAAAGAGGAAAGUAGAAUUCACAGUGUAGCGGUGGAAUGCGUAGAUAUUGUGAAGAAUACCAAUUGCGAAGGCAGCUUUCUGGUUCUGUACUGACACUAAGGUGCGAAAGCGUGGGGAGCGAACAGGAUUAGAUACCCUGGUAGUCCACGCCGUAAACGAUGACAACCAGCUGUUGGGAAGCAACGCUUUUCAGUGGCGCAGCUAACGCAUUAAGUUGUCCGCCU